GGCCUCGUGGUAGAGUGGCAAGGACACUUGCCUCUCACCUUGGAGUCCCGGGUUCGAUCCCCGGUCAUGGAGCUA
Molecule: non-coding RNA, 75 nt
Organism: Rhamnusium bicolor
Lineage: Eukaryota; Metazoa; Arthropoda; Insecta; Coleoptera; Cerambycidae
Source: the annotation of a GenBank genome assembly